AGUGGCGCACGGGUGCGUAACACGUAUGUAACCUACCUCUAACAGUGGCAUAACAAUGAGAAAUUAUUGCUAAUUCCGCAUGUGGUUAAUUUGAGGCAUCUUAGAUUAACUAAAGAUUUAUCGGUUAGAGCUGGGCAUGCGUCCCAUUAGCUAGUUGGUGAGGUAACGGCUCACCAAGGCAUCGAUGGGUAGGGGCUCUGAGAGGAUUGUCCCCCACACUGGUACUGAGACACGGACCAGACUCCUACGGGAGGCAGCAGUAAGGAAUAUUGGGCAAUGGACGCAAGUCUGACCCAGCCAUGCCGCGUGAAGGAAGACGGCCCUAUGGGUUGUAAACUUCUUUUCUCAGGGGGUAAACUCUGGAACGUGUUCCGGACUGAAAGUACCUGAGGAAUAAGCAUCGGCUAACUCCGUGCCAGCAGCCGCGGUAAUACGGAGGAUGCGAGCGUUAUCCGGAUUCAUUGGGUUUAAAGGGUGCGCAGGCGGAUAUAUAAGUCGGAGGUGAAAUUCUGAUGCUCAACAUCAGCCGUGCCUUCGAUACUGUAUAUCUAGAGUCAAGUUGGAGUAGGCGGAAUGUGUUGUGUAGCGGUGAAAUGCUUAGAUAUAACACAGAACACCGAUCGCGAAGGCAGCUUACUAAACUUUGACUGACGCUCAUGCACGAAAGCGUGGGGAUCAAACAGGAUUAGAUACCCUGGUAGUCCACGCU
This 709-nucleotide ribosomal RNA is filed under the name uncultured bacterium. RNAcentral describes it as "bacterial SSU rRNA". It matches the Rfam family "Bacterial small subunit ribosomal RNA", at positions 94 to 801 of the family's 1533-position model. The record is from RNAcentral.